This 468-nucleotide ribosomal RNA is filed under the name Triticum aestivum (bread wheat). RNAcentral's name for it is "partial small subunit ribosomal RNA". The record is from RNAcentral. Lineage: Eukaryota; Viridiplantae; Streptophyta; Magnoliopsida; Poales; Poaceae.
AUGGGUUUUGUGAAGCUAAACGUUGAUGCUUCUUUUGACCAUGAUCUGCUUAGAGGCACGACGGGGGCAGUCCUGAGAGAUGACAAAGGAAGGUUCAUUGUUGGCGGAAGUUGGAGGCUUGACUGGUGUGCGGAUGUUCUAACGGCAGAAGCAUUGGCACUGAGGUUUGGCCUUACCCUAGCACAGAAGGCGGGGUGCAACCGCCUUAUUGUCAACUCAGAUAAUACGGAGGUGAUUUACAUGAUGAAGAAUGGAGGACAAUCGGCGACGACAUUGUUCGAUGAUUGCUAUUUUAUGGCUUGCAAAUUUACUAUUACUAGCUUUGAACAUUGUAAUAGGGAAGCAAAUAAAGUUGCUCAUGAACAUGCUAGGCUAGUGAAAUUCUCUGUGACUAGGGAUUGGUUUGAGGAGCCCAUGGUUGAUAUUUUAUCUCUCCUUAUUGAUGAUGUAACUGUUAUUUCUAAUUAA